UACUUACUCGCCAGGCGCCUCUGUGGAUGCCACUCCACAGCCUCGUGUGUUAAGAGGUGCAGAAGAGCUGCCUGAUUGGCUCCCAAGCUGAGAACCAGGAGCCCGGGGGAAGUCAUGGCGAAAUCUCAACCUGAUGUGGGCCUGUCAGCAUCAGACACAUGCUCAGAGCAAAACAGCCUGCUCUUCAGUGCGUUUAGUUUAGUUCCAUUGUCCUGCCCCCCUCCUCCCACCCCUCCCACCACUGAGGACUGGUAUUCAAAAGCACAGCUUCUUUCCUUUCUUCUCCUCGGGACUCAGCAGCACAGACAGUGGGGCUGCCACCUCUUUCUGCCCAGUCCACCAUGGCUAGGGACGGAUUCUCUCCGCUCUACACAGAAUUCAAGAACUAUAUUUGGAUCUGCUUCACAACAGUAAUCCCCACAGCCUUAAAACAUGCAAAAUAAAAAUAAGUUAAUCGCCCCUCAGCA
This is a long non-coding RNA of Sapajus apella (tufted capuchin), 467 nucleotides long. RefSeq lists it as uncharacterized. The transcript has 2 exons. NCBI's taxonomy places the organism in Eukaryota, Metazoa, Chordata, Mammalia, Primates, Cebidae. The record is from RefSeq and is a predicted model, not a curated record.